RNAcentral lists this ribosomal RNA (736 nucleotides) under uncultured bacterium. RNAcentral describes it as "bacterial SSU rRNA". It matches the Rfam family "Bacterial small subunit ribosomal RNA", at positions 41 to 773 of the family's 1533-position model. The record is from RNAcentral.
AUCAGGCCUAACACAUGCAAGUCGAGGGGUAGCAGGGUAGCAAUACCGCUGACGACCGGCGCACGGGUGAGUAACACGUAUGCAACCUGCCUCAUACUUGGGGACAGCCUUCCGAAAGGGAGAUUAAUACCCAAUGACACAGGGAUACCGCAUGGUAAUAUUUGUUAAAGAUUUAUCGGUAUGGGAUGGGCAUGCGGUGGAUUAGAUAGUUGGGAGGGUAACGGCCUGCCAAGUCGGCGAUCCAUAGGGGAACUGAGAGGUUUAUCCCCCACACUGGUACUGAGACAGGGACCAGACUCCUACGGGAGGCAGCAGUGAGGAAUAUUGGUCAAUGGGCGGGAGCCUGAACCAGCCAAGUCGCGUGAAGGAAGAAGGUAUUAUGUAUUGUAAACUUCUUUUAUGGGGGGAUAAAAAGAGCCACGCGUGGUUUUUUGCAGGUACCCCAUGAAUAAGCAUCGGCUAACUCCGUGCCAGCAGCCGCGGUAAUACGGAGGAUGCGAGCGUUAUCCGGAUUUAUUGGGUUUAAAGGGUGCGUAGGUUGUCUGUCAAGUCAGCGGUGAAAUUCCGGCGCUUAACGUCGGCACUGCCGUUGAAACUGACAGACUUGAGUGUAAACGAGGCAGGCGGAAUUCGUAGUGUAGCGGUGAAAUGCAUAGAUAUUACGAAGAACCCCGAUAGCGCAGGCAGCUUGCCAGGCUACAACUGACACUGAAGCACGAAAGUGUGGGUAUCAAAC